This 4538-nucleotide long non-coding RNA is filed under the name Homo sapiens (human). Its description in RNAcentral is "HSALNT0127004". The record is from RNAcentral. Lineage: Eukaryota; Metazoa; Chordata; Mammalia; Primates; Hominidae.
AGGGUAACUUCCUGAUGUUGCCAUGGCAUUUGUAAACUGUAUGGCACUGGCGGGAGUGUCUUUAGCAUGUUAGCGCAUUAUAUAAUUAGUGUAUAAUGAGCAGUGAGACGACUGGAGGUCACUUUCAUCGCCAUCUUGGUUUUGGUGGGUUUUGGACAGCUUCUUUACGCAUGCUGUUUUAUCAGCAAGGUCUUUGUGACCUGUAUCUUGUGCCGACCUCCUAUCUCAUCCUGUGACUAGGAAUGCCUUAACCUCCUGGAAUGCAGCUCACAUGCCAGAAACUAUACAAUCCACCCCCUCUGAAGGAGUUUGUUCAUUUAAAAAAAAAAAAAGGAUCACAGUCUGGAAGUCUGCUCACAGUCUCAAGGUUGGCAUAUCCCCUAGAGCCCCCAGACUCCUCAUCCCAUGGAGACCAACAUGGCCAGGGGAGGGCCAGAGCAGGGCCUUCUAAAUCACAGACCCCAGGGCAGGAGCCCCUCCGGUCUGGAUCUAAGGAUGGUAUUUUCAACAAUUCCUAAAUUUUUAUCCUAGGCUCUCCAAAUGGGAGUCUAAAGGUCUCAAAACAUGGUCCAGAAGAAGUAUGCAAAAAUGUAAAUUCCUAGGCCCCAACCCAGACCUAUGAAUCAGAUGAUCUGUAUGGGGGUUCAAGGAAUCUAUAUUAUUAAACAAUCUUCCUAAAUGACUUGUAUUCAUACUAAAGCUUGAGAAUUGCUAUCAAACAGCUAGAAGUUGGAGUGAAGGGUCCUGCCUUUCCCAUGAAAUUCAUCAACUCUAUGCCCUCAAAAGCUGGGCUCUUGGAUGAGCUGCUCUCCAUUCUAGAGACAUUACCAGCUAGGUAGCCUGCUGGUCCUCAGGAAGUUAAGCCCAGACUCUUCAGCACAGAAUCAGAUAAACACUGAUUACAUUGUACUCUACAGUUCUGAGAACACCAUUACUUAAUUCCCGGCAAGUUGCAAUGUAAUUGAGUAGGUUGUAGUUUUUUGGGUUUGGGGUUUUUUUGUUUUUUAAAUAUAUCAGGCGUAGUUAGCCAGCUUCCUAGAAACACCAUGAUCUCUUGGUGAAAAUUCCAGAAAUAUGCAUCACUUCCUAAUUAAAGUAGGGAAUUUUUAAAAAUUAUUAAACCACAUGCUUUCUAAUUCCUAUUGCCCUUUCUUUUCACCCACCAUUCAGCAGUCAGCAGACACUUUCUGGGUACAACAGGGUAGGACCAUCCAGGCAGAACAAAAGCCAUUGAUCAUGAACUACAGAGGAGAGUUUGGUAAAUGGACACCAGAAACCAUGGCCUACAGGGGCCUGGUUUUCUCCCAUCUAAAUACUAACUAGGCCCAACGCUAGUUGGGCUUAGCUUCCUAGAUCAGAUGAAAUUGGGCACAUUUAGGGUUGGGGGUAUGGCUCUCUAUUGUAAGUAGCAAGAGUUUGAGAGAAGAAAAAAGGGAUUUUCUUUUUUUUUUCUUUUAAAUUUUAGAGCAUUAACUUUAAACAUCAAGAUCCAAACCCCAAGGAUUCAGAGAAUCUUGUACUAUAAACCAUUUGUAUUAGUCAGGGUUCUCCAGAGAAACAGAACCCAUAGGAGGUAUAGAGAUAGAGAAAUAUGGAAUUGGCUCCCAUGAUUAUGGAGGCUGAGAAGUCCCUCAAUCUGCUGUCUGUGAGCUGGAGACCUAGGAAAGCUUAGCUGGUGGUACAAACCAGCCCAAGUGCAAAGGCCCAAGAACUAAGAGCACCAUUGUCAGAGAGCAGGAAAAGACAGAUGUCCCAGCUCAAAAAGAGAGAGCAAAUUCACCUUCCUUCCACCAUUUUAUUCCGUCCUGUUCCAUUCCUCAACAGGUUGGAUGAUGAGGGAGAUCUUUAUCCAUCUCAAGUUUUUUGUGCAAAUAUGGAAUACAAAUGAAAAAUACUUAAAGCACAUCAUCAUUGAUUUCCAACUUAGACUAGUUUAACUUCCCUUUUUCUUCUAUCCUGUCAGUUCCUUGAGGGAUCCUCUCUCCUUGUUCAUCUCUGCAUCUCUAGUAAUUAGCACAGUGCCAGGCACAUGGUAAUAUGGCUAAAACAGUGGAUUAUUGGUCUCCAACAUAAUUAAGCCCAUCCAAAAGAAAAACCAACCUCAUAAAUCUGCUUUGCAAAGUUCAUAAACAAUGGAUAUGCUAUGUCUCAAAGGUGCUGGCCAAAAAAAUUUAAGAACUUGGGAAUUAUGUGUUAUUUUGUUUGUUUUUUUCACCAAGCCUACUUUUCUGUCACAAGAGCCCAUAUCAACAACACACCCAUGUAUGUCCUUCUUUUUAUCUACUUUUCUCCAUGAAGUUUGUCACCAUCAACUGUUAAAACUGUAAAGAUUUGAUCAGCUAAAUAAGUGGUCUUUGAACUAAUUCCUCUCGUACUUCCUAAAGGAACUUUGAAAAACUAUGUAUCCCCUUGCACAUUUUCAAGCAGACACCUAAGAUUUUUCAUCAUAAAUUUGAAUAACUUCAAAAUAUGUACUUAUUAGCAUAUUGUAAAUAUUGAUUUUUAAAUAAAAUAUAUCACACUUUGUAUCCAAUGAACUCUAAACACCAUAGCAAUUUGACACUUACUCUCCCACCCUCAGUCUUAAAAAUUCACCAACAACCUCUUUUUUAACAACCGAAAAAUUUGUAUUAUUCCUUUUUAAAAUUUUGAAGUUUUCUGGAUUGAAUUAUUUUUAUAAUGAUUUUUAGUAUACAACUGACCAAAGCAACAUAAAUAUAUAGCAUAUUUUGAUAAAUAAUUAUAAAACAUAGCAAGUUAUGUGUUAUUGGAAAAUUAAACUAAAUGAAUGGAUCUUUUUAAAUUAGUUCGGGUAUCUGUGGCUGUUCCUAACUGUUAAAAUGAGACAGAGUCAGCGUCAAUUCUACUCUUAUUUUUUAUUUUUUUAGACGUAAGCCCUGAGAAAACUUGUUCAAUUAAAUAAGUAAUGAGAAUGUUAGGCAUUUUCUGAUAAAAAUGUCACUCUGUUAUUUGAAUGCCUUCUUGAUUAUAAGUCAAAAAGUACAUAGUGAUCUAUUAUCAAAAACUAUUGGCCUAUCUGUUGACAACUUGGGUAGGUCCUCCUUUAAUUUUAUUGAAAGCAAAGAAUUGGAAACUACCUAAUUUACAAAAAAAAGAAGAAGAAGAAGAAGAAGAAGAAAUGUGUUACCUAAUUAUUAGAGCUCACUUUCUAAGUUUCUAGGAAGUAUGACCCAAAAAAGCUUGGCCAAGACUUAUCACAUGGCUGUUGAUUAUACCAUCACCCUUUUACUUACAGGCGUCUUGCUUAUGGACCUAAAAAAGAUGAAACUGGAGUUAGAAACAAAAACAGAAAAUUGUAAAUUGUGCAUUUGGGGACUUUUCUCCUUGACUGUGAACAGAGACCUAUAUACAAUGCCAAAUUUCAUUUUUUAAGAAUGUCUCAAAAUGCAGAGUAAAGAAAUGACAGAAGGACAGACACUUGGGGAUAUUCAUGUAUAUACUAAUAACUUCUUCCCAAAUAUGACUGAAGACAAUACACUUAGCAGAACUGAAAUCAAUAUAUUAACAUCUGAAAGGGAGAAAUUAAUCCUAAUUCAAUCAAGCCAGUUUUCUAAAGUUCAGGUCAUUGCAUAUUAGAUUUACAUUUUGGAAAAAUUUUUUUUGCUUUUGAACCAAUAGAUUUCUGCUUUUGACAGUAUAGUUUAAAUACUUUAUGUAAGUUGACAGCAAGAGAAAGAACUUAGUCACCAAUAAGUAUAGUACAAGAUUAUGGAAAGCACAUUAAGGACCUCUAAGCACAUUAGUUAGAGUAUAAUCUGCAAUAUAUUCCUGUUAAAUUACUUAAUGCUAAUUCUGUGGACUGAAUUUCAUUCCCCCAAAAUUUAUAUUUUGAAGGCUUAACCCUUAAUGUGACUAUAUUUGGAAAUAGUGCCUGUGAAGAGGUGAUAAAGGUUAAAUGAGGUCACAGGCUGGGGUCCUACUUCACUAGGACUGGUGUCCUUUAAAGAAGAGGACAAGAUGCCAGAUGCUCUCGUUCAUGUGCCCCCUUUCUCUCUCUCUCUCUCUCGCUGGUUCACUCUCUCUCUCUCUCCUCCUGCCCCCCAUGUGAGGAUAUAAGGAGAAGGCAGCCAUCUGCCAGCCAGGAAGAGAGCCCACACCAGAACUUGACCAUGCUGACACCCUAAUCUUGGAUUUCUAGCCUCCAGAGUUAUGAGAAAAUAAAUUUCUGUUAUUUAAACCACCUGGUGCAUGGUAUUUUGUUAUGGCAACACAAGCUGACUUAUAUACCUAAUAACUACAUGGCAGGAAUUAAUACAUGAACGGGAAAGUUGUUCAUGAGUGACAGUGAGCAGGAGACCUGUACCUUCAUCAGAAAUGAAUAUAGAUUUCAUAUUUUGCUAACUUUUAGCAAAAAUUAAUGAAAGUGUUUCUCCUAUAAAUCUGAGUAAAUAUUUAAGAAAAUACAAAAUACUAACUUACCUCUAAUAUGUGUUUCUUUUGUUAGAAAAUGUAGCCUUGAUAUGUUGGAAGAAACUGUAGUCUUUUCACCUUGAAGUUAUGCAAAUUACACUCCUGAG